Long non-coding RNA from Takifugu rubripes (torafugu), 2996 nucleotides. The record is from Ensembl. NCBI's taxonomy places the organism in Eukaryota, Metazoa, Chordata, Actinopteri, Tetraodontiformes, Tetraodontidae.
AUGUUAAAUGGUAUCUAUUGUAACCGUAUCUUUCAGUGUUGCAAAAAAAAAAAAAACCCUAAAACGCAGACGACGUUUUUACUCCAAAUGGGCGUGGUGUUGAAUGCAGUUUCUUUCUUCUGUGUCCUAGGAAACCCUGUGUUUACAGCGACGUCCAUUGAAACAAAUGCUACAGCAUAUAGUUCCAAUCGUCCCCUCGAGUUCUACACAGCAUCCAGUAUCAGAAUGCAUGGAAAUAAAGCAAGAAGAUUCACAAAGAUGCAAUAUCAAGAUCCACAAGACAAUGAAAUGGUUGAGAGGACAUAUAUCUCCUCUGAAAAACACACCAUCAACAGCAUAUUAAGGAACCUUGUCAGUAAUGUUGAGUUCAUUGCGAUUCUGCCUGGGGUCCUAAAGGUAAACUGGGACACUGAUGUCAUGGACAGUGAGGUGAUCAGAGCACUUCAGGAACAUCUAAUGUUAGAACAAAGGCUGGAGAUGCUAGAAGAUCGCAACUUGGUGUCAGAUGGGAAGAAUGAGAAUACUCAUCUUGAGAAAAAUCUGAAGAUCUCUUUGAAAAAUUUGCUCAGGCUCGUGAAAGCCCAUCCGCUUCUCCUUUCUGCUUGGAAGAAAGACUUGCCAAAGGAAAUAGGGAAAUGUGAAAGGUGCCUAAUCAAAGAGAUUCAUGUAUUGGAAGGUCUGGAACCCAGGCCACAGCAAGCUGCUCCUAAACUGCUACCUGUUUCCUAUGAGCUGAACGAUACUCCUUUACUACAAGACUUUCCUGCAACAAUAGAAGAAGUAACUACAAAGCAGAUUUUUCAGAAGAGUCAAGACAUUGAAACUUUGCAGAGUUCUCUGCAAAAGCAAAGAGGAGAGGAGAGUGCAUUGGAGGAGCAGCUACAGACCACUAUUGAGGAAUUGGAGACAGUGCAGAAAAAAUUACUUCAGGAAGUUGAUCAAAUGAGCACUGAGCUAAAUGAUCUAACACUGAGAAACUUUGAAGAAGAAGCUGCACUUCGACGAGAAAUCGUCAUGGUUGAUGCAGCUACUGCUCAUUUGAUUGAAGAUUUUGAUGAAGCAAUAGAGGCCCUGCAGGCUAGCUUGGAGCUGAACACAAUGAAGUAUGAGCAAGAAGUGGAAGAAGUGAAAAAGUUGGAGAUGCUUUAUUCUGAACUAGAUGUGGAUUACAGAUACAUUUUGGAGAAACACCGGCAGGUAGAGGAGAAGAAGGUGAAGGAAGAAAAGGAGCUGGUGUUAAAGACAGAAGCUGCUCUUCUUAUCCAAGCAUGGUGGAGGAGUUUCUAUGUCCGCAAGGCCAUUAAGGGGAGAGAGAAAAAAGCAAAGGCAAAAAGGGCAAAAAAGUGAAAGCCUUGAAUGAAAGACAGAAAAUAGGCAAAGGCCAAAAGGACACAAAAGGCAAAGCAAAAGCCAUUGGCAAGAAGACAUGUAAAGCACUUUGCUGCUAAAGAAAUUAUUUCAAAGGUUCCAAUAGGCUUUAACACCAAGACCAAUAUUUUUUAAUUGUGAUGACUAGAUCUGUCUUCCUUUUAUUCACCAUAUGAUAAGUUUAAAUAUCAUGUGGACCUAAGCAAAUCUACAUUGUAAUAAUGAAAGAAAUACUUCAAUUUUUAGCAAUUAAUACAUUAUACAGAAGUGAAUGCAACAUGAUCAUAUGGAAUAAACUUAACUCUUCUGUCAAUGACAAAAUAUAUUGACAUUCUCAAUUUUUAAAAGAAGGGACAAAAUGAAGGGAUGCUUGGACAGACAGUUUAUUCUGAUGGAUCUCAGCACAUACUGAGAUAAAUGUUGCUCAUUCCCUCGUCUCCAUGGAGAUCCAUCAGAUCUGGCAAUGUGUGGACAAAUGUGUCACUGUGAUUAUCCUGAUACGAGAGGAUGCUCUAAUCCAGCAUUGCUCAGAUAAUGCCCCCCCCCCCCUUUCUUUACAGGUAAAAAUCUGUUACACUGUUGACCUAGCUGACUUAGUCAGAGAUGUGACUGAGGCUUCUUGAAGGCUGUGCUUACCAUAGCCAACUGACUGACCCUCGACGUUUGGAGAGGGCACUAGUGCAGUAGCUCACAGCUGAGAAAACGUCCUAGUUCCCAAUGUAGUUAACCGGGUCCCUCUCUUAUUCUCGUGACUUGCAACACACCGAGCACGUUUGGGCACAGCCCCAACACAUUCCCGCCUCUGACUUGAUUAAAGUACAAGAGGAAGCGUGACAGAGGAUACUACAACCUGGACAAUUGAGUUGGUCAAUGUCUUGGCAGCUCUUGUAACAGAAUCUGCAAUCGUGCUGUAUUCUCUGUUAACCCUCCACAUUCUUUAUCCCAUAAUAAUGUCCCUGAAACAACAGAAUAAACAGUGGGUCGCCGCAACGGGGGUAAGCCGACACAGAUGGGCGUAGAGCCCUGUCAUCAGACCCCCUGUAACGCACCAUGAUUUUACGCUGAAGGACACGUUCAAAUUUCUCAAUGUCCAAAAGGUCAUGAUCUGCCCCUCCUCCAGACCGGCGAGAUGCUCUCUCCCCCUUUCCAAAGCCUCUUCGCGCAUGAGGUCAGGUUGUAACAGGGGGUCCAAGUUCAUGAAGAAGCAGAGGAGAGUCUGAAUCAACUCACACCUAGAGUGUGAGUUGAUUCGGACUCUCCUCUCCGAUGUUUCUCGGGUGGAAAAAGACACUUCUAGAGACAAUUUUAAUAUGUGAGUUGAAGGACAGAUCUGAUCACAUGUUAUGUUGGGGCACAUGUGAGAAAAAAAACAGCACAACCCAUCAGCACAUCCCGAGUGAUUGCAAGUUAGCCCAGAUUUUCUCCAAGUCUCUGUUAAUUCCAGUUGAUGCAGCUAUAUGAACAUGUGCCAAAACAUUUGUCAAAGGUCACCUGGGAAAAUAUCACUUUAAUCUUUUAGGAUCUUUACGAGUGAAAAAGAUCAAAGACACAAAACAAAAGCAUAUUAAGGCUUCAAUCUGCUUUCAAGAUGGUUUUGUUACUGGCUUUAACAAUAAUUUAAACACUGC